GUGUUUGUUAGGAAUCCAAAAACCAGUUUCAGAUUUGCAGUGCAGAUGCACCUUUUCAACUUUAGCAAUUAUUUGAUCGGUACUUAUAUUGUCCUCUGUUUAGCGAGGCAUAAAUCUAACUGCAUUGUAUAAAACAUUAAGGAAAGGAACUUGAUUGAGAAAUAACACUUCUGUAAUGAUUUCUGUGAGAAGAAAUUUUACUGCUUGUUAUAUUCUAAAAUGAAUUGAUCAAAUUCAAACAAAUAAUAGUAGCCUAAGCUUGGAAAGUGAAUGCACCUCAAUCAUAAAUUGAUAAAGUUUUGUUUACAACUGUUUGAAAAAGGAAUCCCAGUUCAACAGGUGUCAAAAAGUAAGCCAAUGAUGGCAUACUACUUUGUAUGAGACAUCAGAAAGAAGAUGAUGCUUGUUGCAUUUAUUAUUCCUAAAAUGUUAUGAUGUAUUUUAUCCUGUGAUUUUCUGCACUAAUGAGAUCAGCAUGAAGAAGCUUAAUGAAUUGGAAGAGAAAGAAUUAUGUGAAAAAUGACAGUUGGUACCAUAAAUUUUUUGAGAACACAAUUUUGGUUGGGCAGGUAAUGCUCAUCUAAUUGGAC
RNAcentral lists this unclassified non-coding RNA (590 nucleotides) under Hevea brasiliensis (rubber tree). The record is from RNAcentral. Lineage: Eukaryota; Viridiplantae; Streptophyta; Magnoliopsida; Malpighiales; Euphorbiaceae.